AGAGUUUGAUCCUGGCUCAGAAUCAACGCUGGCGGCGCGCUUAACACAUGCAAGUCGAACGAGAAAGCCCGCAAGGGUGAGUAAAGUGGCGUACGGGUGAGUAACACGUGGGUAAUCUGCCUUUUGGUGGGGAAUAACCCUGGGAAACCGGGGCUAAUACCGCAUAAGCCUGAAAAGGGAAAGGAGCAAUUCGCCGAAAGAGGAGCCCGCGGCUGAUUAGCUAGUUGGUGAGGUAAAGGCUCACCAAGGCGAAGAUCGGUAGCCGGCCUGAGAGGGCACACGGCCACACUGGCACUGAAACACGGGCCAGACUCCUACGGGAGGCAGCAGUGGGGAAUCUUGCACAAUGGGGGAAACCCUGAUGCAGCGACGCCGCGUGAGCGAUGAAGCCCUUCGGGGUGUAAAGCUCUUUCGGCAGGAACGAUGAUGACGGUACCUGAAGAAGAAGCUGCGGCUAACUACGUGCCAGCAGCCGCGGUAAUACGUAGGCAGCGAGCGUUGUUCGG
This 506-nucleotide ribosomal RNA is filed under the name uncultured Acidobacteriota bacterium. Its description in RNAcentral is "bacterial SSU rRNA". It matches the Rfam family "Bacterial small subunit ribosomal RNA", at positions 8 to 548 of the family's 1533-position model. Lineage: Bacteria; Pseudomonadati; Acidobacteriota. The record is from RNAcentral.